This 910-nucleotide ribosomal RNA is filed under the name uncultured archaeon. RNAcentral describes it as "bacterial SSU rRNA". It matches the Rfam family "Archaeal small subunit ribosomal RNA", at positions 6 to 921 of the family's 1478-position model. The record is from RNAcentral.
GGUUGAUCCCGCCGGACCUGACUGCUAUCGGAUUNGGUACUGAGCCAUGCGAGUCAUUGUAGCAAUACAAGGCGGACGGCUCAGUAAACACGUAGUCAACCUAACCUAUGGACGUGGAUAACCUCGGGAAACUGAGAAUAAACCACGAUAGAUCAUGAUGCCUGGAAUGGCUUAUGGUUCAAACAAUUUAUUGCCGUAGGAUGGGACUGCGGCCUAUCAGCUUGUUGGUGAGGUAAUGGCCCACCAAGGCUAUAACAGGUACGGGCUCUGAGAGGAGAAGCCCGGAGAUGGGUACUGAGACACGGACCCAGGCCCUAUGGGGCGCAGCAGGCGAGAAACCUUAGCAAUGUGCGAAAGCACGACUAGGUUAAUCCGAGUGGCUCCUGCUAAAGGAACCUUUUGUCAGUCGUAAAACCACAGACGAAUAAGGGGUGGGCAAGUCUGGUGUCAGCCGCCGCGGUAAUACCAGCACCUCGAGUGGUCAGGAGGUUUAUUGGGCCUAAAGCAUCCGUAGCCGGCUAUGCAAGUCUCCGGUUAAAUCCAACUGCUCAACAGAUGGGCUGCCGGAGAUACUACAUAGCUAGGGAGCGGGAGAGGCAGACGGUAUUCGGUGGGUAGGGGUAAAAUCCACUGAUCCAUCGAGGACCACCAGUGGCGAAGGCGGUCUGCCAGAACGCGUUCGACGGUGAGGGAUGAAAGCUGGGGGAGCAAACCGGAUUAGAUACCCGGGUAGUCCCAGCUGUAAACGAUGCAAACUCGGUGAUGCGUUGGCUUAUGGCCAACGCAGUGCCGCAGGGAAGCCGUUAAGUUUGCCGCCUGGGAAGUACGGACGCAAGUCUGAAACUUAAAGGAAUUGGCGGGGGAGCACCACAAGGGGUGAAGCCUGCGGUUCAAUUGGAUUCAACGCCGG